GACCCAGCCUGACAAGCCUGACAAACAAAGAGGAGGUUUUCUACCAACAGCAGCCACAACAGAGCGACUCUGGAGGCUUGGAGGAGAAGCAAAACAGCAGACUAUAGCUCCAAUUGCCUCAUCAGCAGCACUGUAGCACCGAGUGAUAUCACUUCCUGUUCUGAUCAGUUCGGCAUGGAGAUGGAGUGAUGAGAGAGGCUGGGGAAAGCAGAGACAUAGAGGAGGAGGAGCAGGGCCAUGUAAAGAAAGUACAUCUGAGCAGUGUUUGAGGAGGUGUAUCCAGGAAACAGUGGCCAGCGCUCUUUUCCUGUGUGACAGGGAGGCAGAGGAAGGAAGGCUGGAGCCGAGAUUAAGGUCUGUGCAACUAACUAGUAACACAACGGCACUCAGUGGCUCAGCCACCCAUUUGAAGAGAGACGGAACCAUCUGUGUGGCACAGGAUCUGUUUCCAGGAGAUAACGGCUUUUUUUAAUUUCACAAAUACUGUACAGCGAAUGUGAGAGACAUGACUUCCUUCCCAAUCUCUGCCUGCAUGCUCCUGUGUUGCAGUACUUCCCCAGACGUCCAGAGAGGACUGCUUUGGAGUGGAGGCCUUAAUAACAUCAGUCUGUGUUCCUUUGUGCUUGUUUACACCGUGGCUGUGAUAAAGGCCUUGGCGUGGGGCAGAAGGAAAGGGAGGGAUUCAUUAUAUCAGGUAGCAGUGGAGAUAUGAAGUUCCCAUUUUCUCUGUUGGCCUGUCCAUUUGCCUUGAUUAAAACAGAGCUCAGCGCUACUGUAGAUUAGCCCAGCUGCUUCCUGUGUCUGACUCUGAUCUGAACACACUUCCUGCCAUGAAGCAGAGAGGGUGGGAGGUGAGAAGGUGGUGCUGGGAGAAUAGGACAAGGAAGAGGGUCAAAAGCAAGUCAGAGGUCAGUGGGCCAGUCAGGAAAUAAAAUGUGAGGAUGGAGAGCAGGAGGUUAAAUAGGCACAAGACAAGGAAGGGAGGAGGAGAAAGCAUAUGUUGUUCUUGGAAGUAGCUGUCAGCACUUCAGCUAUACACUAUUUUGCAUGUGAAUUCAUCAGUGUUGUGACAUUUGUUUCCUAUUGCAUUUGUGAUUGAGCAUUUCUGUGCACUGGAAAUGUGUCUCCCUUUUGAAAAGCAUAAUUGAGGGGGCAAUUUG
Long non-coding RNA from Perca flavescens (yellow perch), 1160 nucleotides. RefSeq lists it as uncharacterized. The record is from RefSeq and is a predicted model, not a curated record. The transcript is spliced from 3 exons. NCBI's taxonomy places the organism in Eukaryota, Metazoa, Chordata, Actinopteri, Perciformes, Percidae.